AUUGAACGCUGGCGGCGGGCUUAACACAUGCAAGUCGAACGAGUGGCGGACGGGUGAGUAAUACUUGGGAAUCUAGCUUAUGGAGGGGGAUAACUACGGGAAACUGUAGCUAAUACCGCGUACCAUAGGAUGAGCCCAAGUGGGAGUAGGUAGUUGGUGAGGUAAAGGCUCACCAGGCCGACGAUCUCUAGCUGGUCUGAGAGGAUGACCAGCCACACUGGGACUGAGACACGGCCCAGACUCCUCCGGGAGGCAGCAGAGGGGAAUAUUGGGAAAUGGGGGCAACCUGACGCAGCCAUGCCGGGGGAAUGAAGAAGGCCUUCGGGUUGUAAAGUUCUUUCGGUAGCGAGGCGUUACCUACAGAAGAAGCACCGGCUAACUCCGUGCCAGCAGCCGCGGUAAUUC
Molecule: ribosomal RNA, 405 nt
Filed under: uncultured bacterium
Lineage: Bacteria
Description: partial 16S ribosomal RNA
Rfam family: Bacterial small subunit ribosomal RNA
Source: RNAcentral